RNAcentral lists this non-coding RNA (94 nucleotides) under human gut metagenome. Its description in RNAcentral is "SAM riboswitch (S box leader)". It matches the Rfam family "SAM riboswitch aptamer (S box leader)". From Rfam's summary of the family: The SAM riboswitch is found upstream of a number of genes which code for proteins involved in methionine or cysteine biosynthesis in Gram-positive bacteria. The record is from RNAcentral.
CUCAUCAAGAGUAGCAGAGGGACUGGCCCGAUGAGGCUACAGCAACCAUUCGAAUGAAGCGGUGCUAAUUCCAGCAGGAAACUGAGAGAUGAGG